RNAcentral lists this ribosomal RNA (428 nucleotides) under uncultured prokaryote. Its description in RNAcentral is "bacterial SSU rRNA". It matches the Rfam family "Bacterial small subunit ribosomal RNA", at positions 355 to 774 of the family's 1533-position model. The record is from RNAcentral.
UGGGGAAUAUUGGGCAAUGGGCGAAAGCCUGACCCAGCGACGCCGCGUGGGCGAUGAAGGCCUUCGGGUUGUAAAGCCCUGUCAUGCGGAAAGAACGACCCUGUGACGCAUACUCACAGGGAGUGACGGUACCGCAGGAGGAAGCACCGGCUAACUCCGUGCCAGCAGCCGCGGUAAUACGGUGGGUGCCAGCGUUGUUCGGAAUUAUUGGGCGUAAAGGGCGCGUAGGCGGUAAGGUAAGUCAGAUGUGAAAUACGUCGGCUCAACUGAAGAACUGCAGCUGAAACUGCAUAACUAGAGUACAGAAGAGGGAAACGGAAUUCCCGGUGGAGAGGUGAAAUUCGUAGAUAUCGGGAGGAACACCAGUGGCGAAGGCGGUUUCCUGGGCUGAUACUGACGCUGAGGCGCGAAAGUGUGGGGAGCAAACA